UCAAACUUCAAUGCAAUCAAAACACUAUCCUCACAAAUCCCUCCGGUCCUAUAAACAAACGGUCUCCUCUCUCUCUAGCUCUCAGAGAUCUUCGCCUAAAACUCACAACCCUCUCUCUCUCUAGAACUCGCAUUCUUGCAGUGACUCGAUUCCAUGGAAGAUCAAGCGGUGGAAAUGUUCCCCAAAAACUGGAAAGACUUCGUUGCGAGUCAGGACUCCAAGCCCUCUUCGACCUCUGAAGCAGAAUGUACUCCAGAUAUUGCUACCAAACCCGUCGAGUGAGAUUCUGAUUAUAUUAUUGGUGAGAGUAGCACGCCGAACGGAACUCAACAAGGUUCUCCAUGUCAGACGGUCCUUCCAGUUUUCCAGAUGAUCUCAACUGGCGUAUCAGGAUAGAUUUAAGGACUGGGAGUCUUCAGGUGUUGAGAUUGUGCCGGUAUUAUCACAACCCCAUGGCGGUUGGACAGGACAAAGUGGUUAUAUGUGCAGGCUGCUUUUUCCAGAGCCAAGCAAAUUUAUAAUCCUCUCUCCACACUCCACAGCUGCUGUGUUAUGCGGGCAGAAGCAGAUGACUGAGGUAUCCUUACUGUUCUCGUUCACAUUUCUCAGUUUGCUUUUGUUACAUUUGUCGUUAUAUUUCAAGUAUGCGUGUACUUGUUUAUUUGACUAUCCGGUUCGUAUGAGAUCAUGUGGCGACUGGUAAUGAAAACUUAUAUUCAGCUGAAUGUCGAUGUACAAGUUUGGUUAUGGCCGAAUCCCUUUUGUAAUUUUGCAUGUUCAAAGUCGAACAUGGGAUUGAAGAUGGAUAUUAUUCUUUGAAUAUAUAACUUUGAAAUUGGACAAAUACCUUUUCUUGAGUCUUGAUCUGCGCCAUACCACUGCCUUGUUUACUAGUUUAACUCACAGUUUAGGUGUAAAUAAUUUGUUGCAACAUCACCUAAUAUCGUCUUCACCCCGGGCCCAUUUUUUUGGCCUCUAGGGUUCCUCAUCAAUAAGAAUUUUGCUCUACGGUUAUUCUAAGUGUAAGUAGUUGUAGACAUCAAAAUUUCGGUGAAAUGAAUGUUGAGAAUUUUUCAUGUUUACAGUAGUAAAUAUAUCCGAAAAUGCCGCACGCUUUAAUGGUCUUGGACCAAGCCAUUUUUCUUAAGGAAGCAAAGCUGCAAGGCGCAUGUUGGAGGGAAUGUUUCUUCAUUAGAUGAUGUUGAGGUCAUUGUCUAUUUAUGGACGUACAUGACACCCUGUUUUUGUGUGAAAAAAGUAAUUCUUUAAUCCAGCAUUGUGUUUUGUUAACGUCGCUUUGAGGAAAAGCUCAGAAUGGUGAUUGGAAGCAUUUGUAUUUUCUUUCUGUUUUGAAUAUUUCGACAAAUUCACUAAACGUUUUUGGUUUUGUUCUCAUGCUUUAGGAUUUGAAGAGAAGUCAAGCUCAUUACAAAUUCCUUUCCGGACCCUGCAGUUCUAAACACCAUUCAGCUGCUAAGUGAGCCUUUUGUUUUAAUUACUCACAAUUAUUUUCUAACUUUCCUUCUCUUUUUAAUUGUAAUUUGUUGUUUCUGGAUAUACAAAUGCAGAAGCUUCAUCGGAAUUGCCCUGGUAUGCCUUCUGAAUACUCACUUUAUAACUGCUGCUUGUUGUGACUAUGCUUAGAAACAUGCAUAGGAGUUAACUGCUAGAUAAACAUGAUUAUGAAUGAUCUUAGAGACUUAGCAAUUCAAUGAUAGGCUAGGAACCCAUAGCUGCUUGUCUGCUUUGACUAUCCUCUGCGUGAAAUUUGAUUGCAUUGAACUGCUUAAAUUUUUUGCAAUAUGAUAGUCUUAGAACUCCUGUGGUUGAUGUGAAUGAAUGAAUUGUUGCUGGAUGCAGGAUCCAGUUUUUCUUUA
Molecule: RNA transcript, 1877 nt
Organism: Pyrus x bretschneideri (Chinese white pear)
Lineage: Eukaryota; Viridiplantae; Streptophyta; Magnoliopsida; Rosales; Rosaceae
Gene name: fruit protein pKIWI502-like
Exons: 6
Source: RefSeq, a predicted model, not a curated record